UGUGAAAACUACCACCACAUGUAGGAAAGAGCUACCACCCCGGUCGUCCGGCAAGUGUGUGAAGCUACCACAUGGAGAUUAAUUGAAAAGCCGAAAAGGUUGAAAAAAAUAAUAAUUUUAAAAUUUUCGGAGUAAUAAGGUGCUAGUUUGAAAAAGAUGCUCAAAGAGCCACCCCCGGUAUCAUAUUGGUUAGAUCUCUAUUUUGAACGUGUUACGAUAAAUUGGUGUCAAUUUUGUUGAAUUUCUAAAAAUCAUUUUUCAUCAACUCACAUCUUGAUAAUUUUGAAACUUGAAAUCAGUUUUGAUUAUGAAAUUUUUGAUGUUUGGAUGUUUUUUGAAAUUUUAUAAUAUAUUAAUUUCAUCAUAAUAAUUUUUGGAGUAAAAACCUUAAUUUAUAUGAAAUUAAUUUAAUUUGAUGGAUUUUUAAAGGAAAAUUUUUGAAAUCAAGGAUCGUGUACCGGUACAGGAUCGUGUACCGGUACGGGUACUGUAGCCGCGGAUGUAUAUCCGGUUACAGAGCUAGUGUUCUCUCUCAAAUCUGAAUCAAACUUUGUUUUCUCUCUCUCUAAAAAUCCCUGGUGCCUUCCUCUUGCAGAUCUACAUGUUUUCCCUCAGAAAUUUGUGAGUAUUUAGCUUGGAUUUAAUCGUUUCAUCGCGUUCAUGUUUAUUUUUCGAAAUAUUCCGAGUUGAAGCUAGAUCUCUAUUUUUGAUCGUUUUUGAUGCAAUUUUUUGCUGUAGAUCAGUGCUUAAUUAUAUUAUCUUGCUUCUAGAACACUUGAAUCACAUCAAAACACAUUAUUUUUCGCUGAUCUAAGAUUUAUGCUCUAAUAUGCAUGUAAUUUCGGGAUUUUUCAAAAAGUUCGAUUUUUGCUGAAAUUUUUUGCAUAAUUUGGUUAGAAAUAGCAUUUGUAUGCAUUCUAAUAUAUUUAGAAAUUUUUUUUGCUAUUUUUACAGAUUUUUCAAAAAUUUUGUUCAUGUAUGUAAUUUUUGAUAUAGGAAAAUGGCGUUUUUGCUUGUACUGGUGCUUUUGGUGCUAAUGGCUGGGAGACGGAGCCGUGGUGGUGGUAGAGGUCGUCAUGGGGCUUCUAAAAGGACUCGUAGAACUGAAGAAGCGUCCGGGUCUGAUUCGGAUUAUCAGGAAAGCUCCUCUGAAGAUGCAGAAGAACCUAUUGUUGCUCUUGAUAAGGGCAAAGGAAUAGCUAGCGAAUCCUCACAUGGCGGUGGUUCUCGUGCAAGAGAAACUCGGUCAAAGCAUGCUGCGGAUGUUCCUCCUGAGCGACGGAAGAUGUACAUGAGCAAGUCUUGCAUUGCGGAGCGUUAUGUCAACUUCAACGAUCUUAUUCAUGACGUUCCUGACUUUGGCUGGUUACUUCAGCGGGUUCCUAUUGAGCCGGUUGGCAGAGUCCCUGCUCGCGCUCUUUUUUGUGUGGAACUCAUUCGUGAGUUCUAUAUGAACGGAAAGGUACUUGCAGAAGAUGAGGAGACCGGGACAUUCCUCUUUGAGACAUUCGUGCGUCAACAGNUGUUUUUGAAUUCUUGUGUAGUGCAUUGAUAGGUGCUUGUUGCAUAAUUUUAUUCAUUGCAUUACAUAUUUAAAUGUUUUUUUUGGUGCUUUGAAUUUUGUUUAUUUAAAAAUCAUUUUGAGGAAAAGGUGUUUAGGAAUUCAAAAUUUUCGAGAAAAUAGAUGAUUGAGAUCCAUGAUUUUGGAGAGAGAAAUUUUUUUUAAGUUGUUUAAACGGUGUUUAACUUUACAAUCAUAUUAAGUUAAAUUCAUAUUAAUUAUCGUCUUUACUCCACUAUUUAUUAUUUUGACGAUAAUUUAUUAUAUGAUUUCUUAUUGCAUAUAUUCAUCAAAAUUUUAUAAUCAAAUUUGAUCUCUUGGUGAUUAAUCUAUCUCGGUUGUAUGUGUUGAAUAUGAUGAAUGGAUAUUCUCUAAUUGACUAAAAUUUGUCAAAAUUAUUUUCAAUUGUGAGAUUGUCUAAUUUAGGGGGAGUUUGAAAUUGUUUAAAAAAAAUAAAUAAAGGAAACUCCUAUGUUUAAAAGAUGUGGAAAGAGUUACAUCCUAAAAGGAGUGUGAAAACUACCACCACAUGUAGGAAAGAGCUACCACCCCGGUCGUCCGGUAGGUGUGUGAAGCUACCACAUGGAGAUUAAUUGAAAAGCCGAAAAGGUUGAAAAAAUAAUAAUAAUUUUAGAAUUUUUCGGAGUAAUAAGGUGUUAGUUUGAAAAAGAUGCUCAAAGAGCCACCCCCGGUAUCAUAUUAGUUAAAUCUCUAUUUUGAACGUGUUACGACAAAUUGGUGUCAAUUUUUGUUGAAUUUCUUAAAAUCAUUGCUCAUCAACUCACAUCUUGAUAAUUUUGAAACUUGAAAUCAGUUUUGAUUAUGAAAUUUUGAUGUUUGGAUGUAUUUUGAAAUUUUAUAAUAUAUUAUUUUCAUCAUAAUGAUUUUUAGAGUAAAAACCUUAAUUUAUAUGAAAUUAAUUUAAUUUGAUGGAUUUUUAAAGGAAAAUUUUCGAAAUCUGGGAUCGUGUACCGGUACAGGAUCGUGUACCGGUGCGGGUACUGUAGCCGCGGAUAUAUAUCCGGUUACAGAGUUAUUGUUCUCUUUCAAAUCUGAACCAAACCUCGUUUUCUCUCUCUCUAAAAAUCCCUGGUGCCUUCCUCUUGUAGAUCUACACGUUUUCCCUCAGAUAUUUGUGAGUAUUUAGCUUGGAUUUAAUCGUUUCAUCGCGUUCAUGUUUAUUUUUCGAAAAUAUUCCGA
Molecule: long non-coding RNA, 2761 nt
Filed under: Ananas comosus (pineapple)
Lineage: Eukaryota; Viridiplantae; Streptophyta; Magnoliopsida; Poales; Bromeliaceae
Description: long non-coding RNA (ACOM_LNC035590)
Source: RNAcentral